RNAcentral lists this unclassified non-coding RNA (282 nucleotides) under uncultured fungus. Its description in RNAcentral is "partial contains small subunit ribosomal RNA, internal transcribed spacer 1, and 5.8S ribosomal RNA". The stretch from base 1 to 73 matches the Rfam family "Eukaryotic small subunit ribosomal RNA", at positions 1759 to 1831 of the family's 1831-position model. Lineage: Eukaryota; Fungi. The record is from RNAcentral.
GCAAACUUGGUCAUUUAGAGGAAGUAAAAGUCGUAACAAGGUUUCCGUAGGUGAACCUGCGGAAGGAUCAUUACUGAAAAUGGACUCUGGUCCUUUCUCUCAAAACCCUUGUGAAUUGUCCUGUUGCUUUGGCGGGCAUGAACCUGGAGGUGUGAAAGCUCCGACGGGGUCCGCCAGAGUCAUUUAAACAUCUGUUUUAUUAUGAUGUCUGAACAUAUCGUAUAAAUAAGCAAAACUUUCAACAACGGAUCUCUUGGCUCUUGCAUCGAUGAAGAACGCAGC